RNAcentral lists this ribosomal RNA (253 nucleotides) under uncultured bacterium. RNAcentral describes it as "partial 16S ribosomal RNA". It matches the Rfam family "Bacterial small subunit ribosomal RNA", at positions 524 to 776 of the family's 1533-position model. The record is from RNAcentral.
CACGUAGGGCGCAAGCGUUGUCCGGAAUUAUUGGGCGUAAAGAGCUCGUAGGUGGUUUGUUACGUCUGCUGUGAAAACCUAGGGCUUAACCCUGGGCUUGCAGUGGAUACGGGCAGACUAGAGGUAGGUAGGGGAGAAUGGAAUUCCUGGUGUAGCGGUGAAAUGCGCAGAUAUCAGGAGGAACACCGGUGGCGAAGGCGGCGAUCUGGGUCGAUACUGACGCUGAGGUGCGAAAGCGUGGGGAGCAAACAGG